UUCAACUACUCAGUCCACUGUAUUGACUGAAGUGCCACGUCGGCGUCAAAACUCAUGCACCAAGAUGGAAACAGCUUUUGAAAUUGCCAUCGGAGUGACGGAUGCGCCCACCUCUCACCGUCUGCCUCGCACCACAGGCUGAAGGUCACUGAGGUGGUCCGUCCUGGCCUGGGUCACCUUGAACACGACCCUCCGGAGGUCUGCCACGCCCACCUCCAUGUCCUCCAGCAUGCCGAUCUCUUCGCCUUGGGACGGUGCUGAGCAGGCUUUCAAACUGGGCCACCAGGCCGACCAGGUGGAGCUGCCUCAGGAAACCUUUGUCCUGCAUUCCUGCGUACACGCGCAUGACGAAGCCACACGCCAACACUGCCAGCUGCCUGACUGAAGACGACGUCCCUCCUCUGCUGAAGUAGGAAACCCUGCGGGAUGCUGCAGGCGGCCUCCUGCAGAAGCACAAAGGUGACGGCUCUCUUGGCCUUGUCCACCACCUGUGCCACGCACUCCUUUAACCUGGCCACUAGGGGGCACAGCUGCUCCCGCCAGUCACUUGCUGCAUCAACAUUGGGAAAACAAGGAAGAAGUCAAACGACGUUGGCGUUACUUCACGUCUCACGCGCUGACCCAUUGGCAAGCAAGGGAUCUCUUCCUGUUUUCGAGGACUUCUGACAUCUCAAGGGUGACUUUUUUUAUACCGCAUCAGAAUUCAUCAUAGAUGUUUCACAGUUAACGGCGCAUCAUUAAACACAUUGUGAAAUUGUCUUCGUGGAAAGGACGCAGCGCCUGUGAAAAGACUUUGUAAAACCAGACAAUGAAAUGGCAUCAGCAGUCUGCACUGACAAGCGAGGUGUCCAUUGUAUAUUCCUUAAAAU
This is a long non-coding RNA of Hippocampus comes (tiger tail seahorse), 869 nucleotides long. RefSeq lists it as uncharacterized. Lineage: Eukaryota; Metazoa; Chordata; Actinopteri; Syngnathiformes; Syngnathidae. The transcript has 4 exons. The record is from RefSeq and is a predicted model, not a curated record.